Molecule: ribosomal RNA, 306 nt
Filed under: Oesophagostomum stephanostomum
Lineage: Eukaryota; Metazoa; Nematoda; Chromadorea; Rhabditida; Strongylidae
Description: eukaryotic LSU rRNA
Rfam family: Eukaryotic large subunit ribosomal RNA (bases 199-306)
Source: RNAcentral
UUGUGACACUGUUUGUCGAACGAUGCUUACAUUUAGUGUGAUCCUCGUUCUAGAUGAGAAAUAUAUUGCAACAUGUAUCUUGGUGCAAUCCAAGAAGCACGGAUGUCGUGACCUCGUUGUCACUGUCAAAGCGUUCAGCGACUAAGAAUGCUUUGGCGGGGCCUGUAUGACAACUGCGGUUUCAUGUCAUUUGCAAUGCAACCUGAGCUCAGUCGUGAUUACCCGCUGAACUUAAGCAUAUCACUUAGCGGAGGAAAAGAAACUAAACGUCUGGUUCAGGGUUGUUAGCGGAGGAAAGAAACUAAA